Nycticebus coucang (slow loris) is the source of this 129-nucleotide small nucleolar RNA. The record is from RefSeq and is a predicted model, not a curated record. Lineage: Eukaryota; Metazoa; Chordata; Mammalia; Primates; Lorisidae.
GCGCCCUACCGACUGAGCCACAGGCGCCGCCCGUGAGCAGUGUUAUUUCUAAUGUGCUAUACACAUAGUUGAAGGUUAAUUAGCAGUAUAACUAUAAGUAGUAAUGCUGGCAGUCUCCUUCAGAUAAGA